RNAcentral lists this ribosomal RNA (575 nucleotides) under Plectosphaerellaceae sp. DCI1F. Its description in RNAcentral is "eukaryotic LSU rRNA". The stretch from base 197 to 350 matches the Rfam family "5.8S ribosomal RNA". The record is from RNAcentral. Lineage: Eukaryota; Fungi; Ascomycota; Sordariomycetes; Glomerellales; Plectosphaerellaceae.
AGAGGAAGUAAAAGUCGUAACAAGGUCUCCGUUGGUGAACCAGCGGAGGGAUCAUUAUAGAGUACCUUACUCACUACCCUUUGUGAACUAUUAUACCUGUUGCCUCGGCGGCGCCCCCCGUGGGCGCCCGCCGGUCUACUAGAAUCUCUGUUUUCGAACCCGACGAUACUUCUGAGUGUUCUUAGCGAACUGUCAAAACUUUUAACAACGGAUCUCUUGGCUCCAGCAUCGAUGAAGAACGCAGCGAAACGCGAUAUGUAAUGUGAAUUGCAGAAUUCAGUGAAUCAUCGAAUCUUUGAACGCACAUGGCGCCUUCCAGUAUCCUGGGAGGCAUGCCUGUCCGAGCGUCGUUUCAACCCUCGAGCCCUCGUGGCCCGGCGUUGGGGAUCUGCCACGGCAGGCCCCGAAAUACAGUGGCGGACCCGUUAGGCCCUUCCUUUGCGUAGUAGCAUUAGCCUCGCAUUGGGAGCCGGCGGGCUCUCCUGCCUCUAAACCCCCCAACAAGCCCGCUCCGGCGGCACCAAGGUUGACCUCGGAUCAGGUAGGAAUACCCGCUGAACUUAAGCAUAUCAAUA